CGUGGUGCAGGUUCGGUUCCGCUCGCAGGUUCUGCUCGUGGUGCACUGGUGGAUCUCCUGCUGGCUGUUUCUGCUCGCUGGUCAACCCCUGCAACACCAGCCCUGCUCCAUAGACGUGGAUCUCCUGCUGGCUGUUUCUGCUGAUUGCCAGCUCCCGAUUUCGUGAAUUUUGCCGGAUUCUCCUGUCUCGACGUGAUUCAGAAAAAAUAAAAUUAAAAAUCAAAAAUAAAAAUAAAAA
This 238-nucleotide long non-coding RNA is filed under the name Hordeum vulgare. Its description in RNAcentral is "long non-coding RNA (HVUL_LNC004060)". The record is from RNAcentral. Lineage: Eukaryota; Viridiplantae; Streptophyta; Magnoliopsida; Poales; Poaceae.